This 253-nucleotide ribosomal RNA is filed under the name uncultured bacterium. Its description in RNAcentral is "partial 16S ribosomal RNA". It matches the Rfam family "Bacterial small subunit ribosomal RNA", at positions 524 to 776 of the family's 1533-position model. The record is from RNAcentral.
UACGAAGGGGGCUAGCGUUGUUCGGAAUCACUGGGCGUAAAGGGCUCGUAGGCGGCCCACUAAGUCAGACGUGAAAUCCCUAGGCUCAACCUAGGAACUGCGUCUGAUACUGGAUGGCUUGAAUCCGGGAGAGGGAUGCAGAAUUCCAGGUGUAGCGGUGAAAUGCGUAGAUAUCUGGAGGAAUACCGGUGGCGAAGGCGGCAUCCUGGACCGGCAUUGACGCUGAGGAGCGAAAGCCAGGGGAGCAAACGGG